Mauremys mutica (yellowpond turtle) is the source of this 2069-nucleotide long non-coding RNA. RefSeq lists it as uncharacterized. The transcript is spliced from 3 exons. The record is from RefSeq and is a predicted model, not a curated record. NCBI's taxonomy places the organism in Eukaryota, Metazoa, Chordata, Testudines, Geoemydidae.
UCCAUCACGUUUAGUGCAUUGUUUCUUUCGGGCAAGUUUUGCAGCGAUCCAUCAGAAAAAGGGGGAAAGGCUGGUUUGUGGGUGCAUCCUUCCCAGGAGCUCAGCUCUCUGUCUCUCUAAGGGGCUCAGCUGUGCCAAAGACACCCCCUGGCCCGCACGGCCAACUCCUUCCCUCCUUCUCUUCUGGGUCCUUUUGCUUACACAGAGCUUUUAAUCCCAUUUAACUCCCUCUCGGCAGACUGCAGUUACCUUGGGAAAAAGGAGAGAGAGGAACAAAGUACAAACUAGGAAAAGAAUGUGGCCCAUGGUCGCCGUAUUUCUUGCCUCUUUUUUUCCUCCUCCUCCUCACUAUUAAUAUAACUUCUAUGAUCUCUUAUUUCCAAAGUCCUUGGUUGAAAGUGUUUUUUUUUUCUCGGAGCUGUAACUUGUUUGUUUGCGUGGUGGUUAUCAUAAUUAUUUUUAUUUGCAAUGCAGAUGUGCUUCCCAGCCCCCACGAACUCUUCUCUGGACUUAGAGAAAAGAGGGAAAAAGGCAGAUUUUGAGAAAUGAAAAUUAUUUAAGGAUGUUUCUGCUGCCUCUCUCUGCUGCCCUCCUCUGUAACACUGAAGUGAAGCACUUAAAAAUAUAUAUAUCAGCCAGAAGAGCUCAAGACAAAAAAAUCAGCUGACCCCUACCAGUCUAUCCCAGGAGAAACUCCAUUCAAACCCCUCUCUGGCCUGCAGAGGGAAAUUAACAAAGGUUACAUUCAAACCGAUCACUUCAUCUUUCAGCAGGAAUGGAAAACCUGAAAAGAAAACCUCUGGCAGGACUGACCCACAAGUUGCCUCAACUGUUCUCACCAUCUGAUGGCAAAGUCAAAGGGCUGACAGUGUUUCGAACUGCACAAGGCAGACAGGAUGACAUGACCCCCUGCACCACAAGGUUUACAAUGCAAGAGCCAGGUCCUGUGAGAUGCUCUUCACUGAAUGGGAGUCAAGGGCACUCUGCACCUCACCAGAAGGCUCGAAGCAACCAAAAGUGGAAACAAGCUCAUUAUAUUCAGUUAUUUCAGUGACAGAUUCAGAUGAUCUCACAUUUCAUUGUUGUCUCACACAGAAGGCAGAGGAGAGUAUAUGAAAGGCAUAUGAGUAAGAGCAAUGUACAGACUUCUAAAUGUGUACACACAUAUCUAGAUAAUUGAUACCACAUGAGCAAUUCAGGACCUGACCCUUUGCAAUCUGCUUUUCCCAGAAAGCCCCAAAACUCAUGCAGCAACCCACUGAAGUCAUGGGAGCAAGGGUCUAACUGAAGAUCAGCUUGCAGGAUUGGACCUUAAUCGCUAAGGGAAAAUGAUGCAUUUUAAGACUGACCAAAUGUAACACACACUUUUCUUCCUCCUGCCCCUAUAACUGCACAUACCCUUCAAGACUAAUCAACAUUAACUCUACCAAACUUUCCUUCCCCAAAAAUCCAUCAGUGUGAAGAGUGAUGGUGAUGCUUUUCAGUAUAGUGCUAUAAUAUACAAAAAGACAAAACAACAGAGCAAAGGUUAAAGAAAGGUGGAGGUAGAAACUUAUGCAUAGAUCUCACUGGCACAUUAACACCACAGCAGUUCCCAGCUCUUGGGAUACACAGCAGUUUCUCUAGGACCUAUAAUGAAAUAGACUUGGGACACAAUCUUGCAAAUGCUUCCUCACAUACUUCUCUUAAUCACAUGAGUAGUCACAUAAAAGCAAGCUAAGCACAUAGAUAAGCAUUUGUAGGAUAUGGACAUGGAUGCAAUCACAGUAUUAUCAUCUUAAAAAUAGAGAGGUAAAUUAGCUUAGGCCUGGUCUACAGUAGGACUUUAAUUCGAAUUUAGCAGCGUUAAUUCGAACUAACCGCUCAACCGUCCACACCAGGAAGCCAUUUAAUUCGAACUAGAGGGCUCUUUAGUUCGAAUUUGGUACUCCAUACAGCUCAUCCCUGUACUCCAUACAGCUACACCCUGUACUCCAUACAGCUCAUAAUUUAUGCAGGAUCGGACACAGAGCAGCUGUGCUCUCUGGUUCUAUGAUACAGUGGUUCUGUAGUACACUUUCCCAUAAUCU